RNAcentral lists this transfer RNA (74 nucleotides) under Carnobacterium sp. PL17RED31. RNAcentral describes it as "tRNA-Pro". It matches the Rfam family "tRNA". Rfam says of the family: Transfer RNA (tRNA) molecules are approximately 80 nucleotides in length. Lineage: Bacteria; Bacillati; Bacillota; Bacilli; Lactobacillales; Carnobacteriaceae. The record is from RNAcentral.
CGGGAAAUAGCUCAGCUUGGUAGAGCACUUGGUUUGGGACCAAGGGGUCGCGGGUUCGAAUCCUGUUUUCCCGA